GUGAAGAUAUUGAAUUCUGUGUGAUGAAUUGAAAAACUAAAUAUAAUAAGUAAGCUAGAGAUCAGUAAUUGAAUAUAUAUAAACCGCAAAGAGAGUAAGUGGGAGAUGAACUAAUAAGAAUAUGAAAGUAUUGUUAAAUUGAUAUUCUUAGAAUAGAUUAUGUGUUGAAUUGAGACGGAAGUAGUAAGCUUUGGUGUUUUGUAGUUUGAUAAUUGAUUUCAGAUAGCUAGUGUAUAAUCAAUUGUAAUACUAAUAGACCCAAUUUAUAUAACCAAUCUUUCUCUGUGUUCGAACCCACCUCUAUUAGUUCUAUUGCUUUGAUAUAUUGAAGCUUGAACACAACGAGAAUAACAUUUUGGAACCGCUGUUGGAGAAAUGAUAACAAUAUGAAAUGUUAGAAAUUGAUUGUAUGGGAGAUGGAAUUAUAUGUUGAAUGAGAAUUUGAGAAGAACUAGUUUUAGGAUUACAAAUAUAAGUGUUAUAAUUCAAGGCAAUAUUGAUUUUGUAAAGAAAAAUGAAAGAUUAUGAAUGAUAAUCAUGAAGAAAAAGAUGAUCUAAGAAUUAAUCGAUAAGCGAAGAAAGACAAGACCAAUUAUGCAUAAGAAAUCUCCUACGGAAAUGACAAAAAGGAAUUGUAGGUCGAAGUAAAACCAAAGAAAGAAAAAUUUAAAUUCAAAUAGCAAGGAGAUCAGU
RNAcentral lists this long non-coding RNA (693 nucleotides) under Physcomitrium patens. RNAcentral's name for it is "long non-coding RNA (PPAT_LNC008717)". Lineage: Eukaryota; Viridiplantae; Streptophyta; Bryopsida; Funariales; Funariaceae. The record is from RNAcentral.